UUCGGGAUGCCGGCGAGUGGCGAACGGGUGAGUAAUACGUGGAAACCUAUCCCUGGGUGGGGGACAACAGCUGGAAACGGCUGCUAAUACCGCAUAAGCCCUAAGGGGGAAAGAUUGAUUGCCGAGGGAGGGGUCCACGUCGGAUUAGCUAGUUGGUGGGGUAAAGGCCUACCAAGGCGACGAUCCGUAGCUGGUCUGAGAGGAUGAACAGCCACACUGGGACUGAGACACGGCCCAGACUCCUACGGGAGGCAGCAGUGGGGAAUAUUGCGCAAUGGGGGAAACCCUGACGCAGCGAUGCCGCGUGGGUGAAGAAGGCCUUCGGGUUGUAAAGCCCUUUCAGUGGGGAAGAUAGUGACGGUACCCACAGAAGAAGCUCCGGCUAACUCCGUGCCAGCAGCCGCGGUAAUACGGAGGGGGCGAGCGUUGUUCGGAAUUACUGGGCGUAAAGGGCGCGUAGGCGGUAUUGCAAG
RNAcentral lists this ribosomal RNA (473 nucleotides) under uncultured Magnetococcus sp. RNAcentral describes it as "bacterial SSU rRNA". It matches the Rfam family "Bacterial small subunit ribosomal RNA", at positions 79 to 587 of the family's 1533-position model. The record is from RNAcentral. Lineage: Bacteria; Pseudomonadati; Pseudomonadota; Magnetococcia; Magnetococcales; Magnetococcaceae.